This 492-nucleotide ribosomal RNA is filed under the name uncultured bacterium. RNAcentral's name for it is "partial 16S ribosomal RNA". It matches the Rfam family "Bacterial small subunit ribosomal RNA", at positions 29 to 507 of the family's 1533-position model. The record is from RNAcentral.
AGUGAACGCUGGCGGUAGGCCUAACACAUGCAAGUCGAACGGCAGCACAGUAAUAGCUUGCUCUUACGGGUGGCGAGUGGCGGACGGGUGAGGAAUACAUCGGAAUCUACUUUUUCUUGGGGGAUAACGUAGGGAAACUUACGCUAAUACCGCAUACGACCUACGGGUGAAAGCAGGGGAUCUUCGGACCUUGCGCGAUUCAAUGAGCCGAUGUCGGAUUAGCUAGUUGGCGGGGUAAAGGCCCACCAAGGCGACGAUCCGUAGCUGGUCUGAGAGGAUGAUCAGCCACACUGGAACUGAGACACGGUCCAGACUCCUACGGGAGGCAGCAGUGGGGAAUAUUGGACAAUGGGCGCAAGCCUGAUCCAGCCAUGCCGCGUGGGUGAAGAAGGCCUUCGGGUUGUAAAGCCCUUUUGUUGGGAAAGAAAAGCAGCAGGUUAAUACCCCGCUGUUCUGACGGUACCCAAAGAAUAAGCACCGGCUAACUUCGUG